GACAGAGGUGCCAAGCGUUAGGCGGAAUCACUGGGCUUAAAGCGUGUGUAGGCGGACUUGUAAGUACCUUGUGAAAUCCCACGGCUCAACCGUGGAACUGCUCGGUAUACUGCUUGUCUUGAGCCACUUAGGGGCUGUCGGAACAAACGGUGGAGCGGUGAAAUGCGUAGAUAUCGUCAGGAACGCCAAUGGUGAAGACAGGUGACUGGGCCAGUUCUGACACUGAGGCACGAAAGCGUGGGGAGCGAACGGG
Molecule: ribosomal RNA, 253 nt
Filed under: uncultured bacterium
Lineage: Bacteria
Description: partial 16S ribosomal RNA
Rfam family: Bacterial small subunit ribosomal RNA
Source: RNAcentral